Non-coding RNA from Mycena vulgaris, 94 nucleotides. NCBI's taxonomy places the organism in Eukaryota, Fungi, Basidiomycota, Agaricomycetes, Agaricales, Mycenaceae. The record is from the annotation of a GenBank genome assembly.
ACACUGAUGGUGAAGCGGUUAUCAUGCUUGCCUUCCAUUCCGGGUUACGUAAUCCAAUUAGCAAGCGGCAGGGGUUCGACUCCCCUUCAGUGUA